UUUGGCCGCCCGUCCCAAGCGCUGGACAACAAAAAUAGGGAGAUGGAACAAAAUUUGGCCUAUAGAAAAGAAAGAUAAUGUGGAAAUUAAAUCAUUAAGUUCACUUAAGCAAAUCCUUCGACACCAAGGAGAAUGGUCCGGCAGCAGCUCAGUCCAUGCUUCAACCGCCCCCCUCCAUACCCUCCAGCCCCAGCCCACUUCCCUAAGGUUCCUUGUGGGAUUCCUCAGCAACACCAAUGCACUGACCAUCACUCUAUGUUCUCCUAGGUUCUGAUGAAGAUCUGCAGGGGCCUGCACAUGGUGGUGUGGAGAAUAUGAAAUCAGAACUUGUAAGACGUAUUUCUUUUUCUGGAAAUUUUUUUUUGGUUUGCUUUUUGUUUUUUCUGGGGCUUCUAGACUAUCAAGUAAAUAUCAUUUUUGACUGCCAUCAUGGAUCAGGCUUCAGUUAGUCAUGGACUCUAGCGACUGGUCACGACACACACAAACACCAAGAGGCACAAAAACUGCCAUGAGAGAAUGAGGUCAGAGCUCCUCCUCCUUCCACUACCAGCUGCCGACUGAAGGCUGCUCACCCUGGCUGAUGCCUAGUACCCACAAAGCCUUUGAUGGCAGUCAAAGGACGGCGUCAUUUACAAAUUGUUUGCUAGUGAGUGUAUUUCUCAGUAGCUACCUUUUCUCCCUGAAAAAUGGUUUUGUAUUUGCCAGCCAACAUGGACACUUGCUAAAUAUUCCCCCAAAAAAACCCAGUGCAUUUUCCACAAGCAUCCUCUAUGCUUUCUUUCGGGGCCAGUUACCUGAUCACUGUUUUGUUGUUUUUUUUUUCUCUUAUUGCAGAGAAAGUCGAACGCCCAGUCUCACCUCUGUUUGGCUAUCCGUCCCAAGCACUGGACCACAAAAAUAUGGAGAUGGACCAAAAUUUGUCGUGCAGGAAAUAAAGGUAGUGUGGAAAUUAAAUCAUUAAGUUCACUUAACCAAAUAAUCCCAGUUUAGUGGGUGGGUGCCCUGAGCUUCUUGGAGCCCCUGAUGUAAACAGGGAUAAAGGACAUAUGAGAUUAGUCUGGAAUCUGAGGCAGGGCGUGAUGAGGAGGCUGUGAGUUUGGGGUAGGGAGGGAAAAAAGGGCCUGGCUGAAAGGAAGGCAGGGUCCUGGGCUUUCUACAGUCCAGCCUGGGAAGGACAGAGCCCAGGGAGGCCCAGAGCUCCCUCCUGACACCUGCACAUAGAAGUGUAGUCUGGCCAGACAGUGCUCUGUAGACUGCUGUGGGGUUGGGGAGUGGCUUCUCCUAGGUACAGAACCUCAGGCACCUGCAGGAUGCAGGGCUCCAGGGUCCCCCGGAUGCCUGUUGAUGGCUCUCCUCUGAGGGGGUGUAAAUUGGCUCGCUGGGCACCCACAAUGGGCAAGGCACUUGCUCUCAGUAUAAUGCACUAAACACUGACAAAUCCACACCCAUUUAAGAUAGGCACAAUUACAAUUACUAUCCCCAUUUUAGAGCUAGGGAAACUGAGACACUGAGCAGUUAACUUGUCCAGGCUCCAUAGAUAAACAGUCAGGGUAGAGCUGGGGUCUCAACACAAGCAGGCUCCCUCCGGAGUGUGAGCUCCUAGCUACUGGUUGUCCCACUGCCCUUGUCCAGCCUUGGCUGUCUGGGGUGGCAGUUAUGCCUUUGGGCUGCAGUUGAACGACCAGUUGCCUUUUCCAGACCGGCUCCC
Piliocolobus tephrosceles (Ugandan red Colobus) is the source of this 1708-nucleotide long non-coding RNA. NCBI's taxonomy places the organism in Eukaryota, Metazoa, Chordata, Mammalia, Primates, Cercopithecidae. The record is from Ensembl.